This 153-nucleotide unclassified non-coding RNA is filed under the name uncultured Phomopsis. Its description in RNAcentral is "sequence contains ITS2". The record is from RNAcentral. Lineage: Eukaryota; Fungi; Ascomycota; Sordariomycetes; Diaporthales; Cytosporaceae.
CAACCCUCAAGCCUGGCUUGGUGUUGGGGCGCUGCUUCUCACAGGAGCAGGCCCUGAAAUUCAGUGGCGAGCUCGCCAGGACUCCGAGCGCAGUAGUAUAUCUCGUUCUGGAAGGCCUGGCGGUGCCCUGCCGUUAAACCCCAACUUUUGAAA